GACGAACGCUGGCGGCGUGCCUAAUACAUGCGAGUAGAACGCUGAAGGAGGAGCUUGCUUCUCUGGAUGAGUUGCGAACGGGUGAGUAACGCGUAGGUAACCUGCCUGGUAGCGGGGGAUAACUAUUGGAAACGAUAGCUAAUACCGCAUAAGAGUAGAUGUCGCAUGACAUUUGCUUAAAAGGUGCAAUUGCAUCACUACCAGAUGGACCUGCGUUGUAUUAGCUAGUUGGUGAGGUAACGGCUCACCAAGGCAACGAUACAUAGCCGACCUGAGAGGGUGGUCGGCCACAAUGGGACUGAGACACGGCCCAGACUCCUACGGGAGGCAGCAGUAGGGAAUCUUCGGCAAUGGACGGAAGUCUGACCGAGCAACGCCGCGUGAGUGAAGAAGGUUUUCGGAUCGUAAAGCUCUGUUGUAAGAGAAGAACGAGUGUGAGAGUGGAAAGUUCACACUGUGACGGUAUCUUACCAGAAAGGGACGGCUAACUACGUG
This 495-nucleotide ribosomal RNA is filed under the name uncultured bacterium. RNAcentral's name for it is "partial 16S ribosomal RNA". It matches the Rfam family "Bacterial small subunit ribosomal RNA", at positions 28 to 507 of the family's 1533-position model. The record is from RNAcentral.